This 422-nucleotide ribosomal RNA is filed under the name uncultured bacterium. RNAcentral's name for it is "bacterial SSU rRNA". It matches the Rfam family "Bacterial small subunit ribosomal RNA", at positions 355 to 774 of the family's 1533-position model. The record is from RNAcentral.
UGAGGAAUAUUGGUCAAUGGGGGCAACCCUGAACCAGCCAAGUCGCGUGAAGGAUGAAGGUCUUAUGGAUUGUAAACUUCUUUUACACAGGAAUAAAUUGGGGGACGUGUCCCCUUUUGCAUGUACUGUAUGAAUAAGGAUCGGCUAACUCCGUGCCAGCAGCCGCGGUAAUACGAAGGAUGCAAGCGUUAUCCGGAAUUAUUGGGUUUAAAGGGUGCGUAGGCGGACUAAUAAGUCAGUGGUGAAAGCCUGCAGCUUAACUGCAGAAUUGCCAUUGAUACUGUUAGUCUUGAGUACAGUUGAGGUAGGCGGAAUGUGUCAUGUAGCGGUGAAAUGCUUAGAUAUGACACAGAACACCGAUUGCGAAGGCAGCUUGCUAAGCUGUAACUGACGCUGAGGCACGAAAGCGUGGGGAGCAAACA